CUGGUUGAUCCUGCCGGAGGGUACUGCUAUUCGGAUUCGACUAAGCCAUGCGAGUCGAGAGUCUUCGGGACUCGACAUACUGCUCAGUAAUAUGUAGUUAACCUAACCUAAAGUCAGGGAUAAUCUCGGGAAACUGAGGCUAAUACCUGGUAGACAUUCUGGUCUGGAAUGAUAGAAUGUCGAAAGAUCCGUCGCUUUAGGAUGGGACUAUAUUCUAUCAGCCUGUUGGGGGUGUAAUGUACCCCCAAAGCUAUAACGGGUACGGGCCAUGAGAGUGGAAGCCCGGAGAUGGAUUCUGAGACAUGAAUCCAGGUCCUACGGGACGCAGCAGGCGCGAAACCUUCACUAUGCAUUAGCGUGCGAUGAGGGAAUCUGAAGUGUUUAUGCUUUGCAUAAACUUUUUUGAGUUGAAACAGCUCGAAGAAUAAGGGGUGGGUAAUACAAGUGCCAGCCGCCGCGGUAAUACUUGAGCCCCAAGUGGUACCCAGUAUUAGUUGGUCUAAAGCGUCCGUAGCCGGUUUAAUAAGUUCCUGGUGAAAUUCACUGGGAAACUGGUGAGCUUGUCGGGAAUACUGUUAAACUUGGGAUCGGGAGAGGGUAGAGGUACUGCUAGGGAAGGGGUAAAAUCCUAUAAUCCUAGUGGGACCACCUGUGGCGAAGGCGUCUACCUAGAACGAGUCCGACGGUGAGGAACGAAACCUAGGGGAGCGAUCGGGAUUAGAUACCCCGGUAGUCCUAGGUGUAAACGAUGCCCACUUGGUGUUACAAACCUUACGAGGGUUUGUAGUGCCGGAGCGUAGGUGUUAAGUGGGCCACCUGGGGAGUACGACCGCAAGGUUGAAACUUAAGGGAAUUGGCGGGGGAGCACACAAGGAGUGGAGGCUACGGUUCAAUUGGAUUCAACGCCGGG
RNAcentral lists this ribosomal RNA (910 nucleotides) under uncultured archaeon. RNAcentral's name for it is "bacterial SSU rRNA". It matches the Rfam family "Archaeal small subunit ribosomal RNA", at positions 4 to 922 of the family's 1478-position model. The record is from RNAcentral.